Long non-coding RNA from Bos taurus (domestic cattle), 1743 nucleotides. Lineage: Eukaryota; Metazoa; Chordata; Mammalia; Artiodactyla; Bovidae. The record is from Ensembl.
GCUUUCUCUAGGACGUAUCAGUCAGACGGCAGAGGAAACAUCCAAAAUGCUGGGAACAUCCUGUGUCACGGUGUCUCCCUGGCCCCCAGAGAAGGAAACGGAAGUGACACUUCCCAGCUUAGAGGUUUUGCAGCUGCUGUUCCUUCUGCCCAGAAUCCUUUUCCACGUGAUCAUCACACAGUGGACCAGUGAGUCAGGUGACAUCAACGGCCCUCUAGAGAGGAGAUCAGAGACACAGAGCAAGGUGUCCAUGGGCACAGCCACAGAGCUCGGAUUCGGACCCGAUUUGUCUGAUUCCAACUUUCUCCAUCAGUAAGCAAAGCACGUGAGAGGAAGGAGAGGGGAGAUUGUCCUCCGCGCUGGGACCCACAACCACAGAACUACGCAAGGCAAACACAACAGAGAUUAGAAUGCUGGGGUUUGUUCUCAUGGGCCUCAAUAUCCGUUCUUCCACUGAAGAGAGGACCUCGUUCACAGCUGUGUCCCCGACAUCUGGAACAAGACCUGGCCCCGAGCAGAUGUGCAACCAGUAUCUGCCCAAAUGAAGGAAUGCACAGGCCACAGGCCCAGCAGUUGAUCUUGAGUUCUAAAGGAAGGGGCUGGGCCAGACAAUGCCCGUCCCCGCCUCCGCACUGAGGGGCUUCCUGACCAGUGACAUCACCCUGCCUUCCCCCGCAGCCUCUGCCUCCUCAGCACUGUCUUAGGAAGGUCUGCUGCAGAACGCCGUUGAGAUCAGGGUGCUGUCUGCAUGCGAUGCAAGGCCCUGCAUCCAGGAAUGCUAAUCCCAGGUCCCGGAUAAGAAGCCGCACCUGGACGUGAGGUGUGACAAGCAGACAGACUUUUCCCGGGGGAGUGGGUGUCCAUCUUUAAACACUUAAUGUACCUUAUAUUCAUUGUAAAACAGCAAACACAGACUGAAUGGACAAGGUCGGGAGACCAUGGUGGUGGGGGAACACGUGAAUUCCAUGGAAUCCCAACACCCAGAAAUGACACACGUUUUCAACAUGCCAGUGUGAUUUCAGAUGUUUUGAGCAACAAACGCUUUUUGAACUUUUUACUGAAUAUGAACACAGGGGAAAACUCACCCUCAUAAGUGUACACCGACUCAAGGGACAUGAGUCUGAGAAAACUCCAGGAGGUGGUGAAGGACAGGGAAGCCUGGCGUGCCACAGUCCAUGCGGUCACAGUCAGACACGACUGAGAGACUGAACAACACCACCACCAAAAGUGUAGAGUUCAGUGACCUUUGCCACGUCCAGGGGAGUAUGAACACACAAGGUGGAGUGAGCUAAUCCUGUUCUCUUUGUCCCACGUUCUCAUGAACGUACUUUCCUUCUGUCCCCCCACAACAAGCCUGCUCCUGGUCACAUCAGCCCACCUCCUUCACAGGGCAACCCCCCAACCAGAAGAGCCCAGGGGCAUCGCAGGGGCUCCCGCAGGCAGUCAAGGUUCUCCACAGUGUGCAAGACCAGUGUGUGUCUCCCAGCCGCGCUGCACGCCCCCCCAGAGCAGCACCCCCAGAACAGAUCCUCCCCACAUCCAGCUCUGCUCUGCAGCCCCAGCCCCAGCCCUGAGGUCCCACCCUGGAACAUUGAGGCUCCUCCCGAGAGAUUCUAGACAGGUAACAUGGCUCUCCUGAGACCAUGGGGGCCCCAGCACAGCGCCUGUCAGUUCCCCCAUGGGCUCUGGGAGAAAACAGGAACUUCCCCCAGCCCACUCGCUCCCACCAAGACUUCCCUGAGG